CGGCGGACGGGUGUGUAACGCGUGGGUAACCUGCCUCAUACAGGGGGAUAACAGUUGGAAACGGCUGCUAAUACCGCAUAAGCGCACAGUACCGCAUGGUACGGUGUGAAAAACUCCGGUGGUAUGAGAUGGACCCGCGUCUGAUUAGGUAGUUGGUGGGGUAACGGCCUACCAAGCCGACGAUCAGUAGCCGACCUGAGAGGGUGACCGGCCACAUUGGGACUGAGACACGGCCCAA
Molecule: ribosomal RNA, 238 nt
Filed under: uncultured bacterium
Lineage: Bacteria
Description: partial 16S ribosomal RNA
Rfam family: Bacterial small subunit ribosomal RNA
Source: RNAcentral